CUACGGGGCGCUCCAGUGAGGAAUAUUGCACAAUGGAGGAAACUCUGAUGCAGCAACGCCGCGUGGAGGAUGACGCAUUUCGGUGUGUAAACUCCUUUUAUAUGUCAAGAAAAUGACGGUAGCAUAUGAAUAAGCUCUGGCUAACUCCGUGCCAGCAGCCGCGGUAAUACGGAGGGAGCAAGCGUUACUCGGAAUCACUGGGCGUAAAGGACGCGUAGGCGGGAUAGAAAGUCAGGUGUGAAAUCCUAUGGCUCAACCAUAGAACUGCACUUGAAACUUCUAACCUAGAGUAUGGGAGGGGAAGAUUGAAUUAGUGGUGUAGGGGUAAAAUCCGUAGAUAUCACUAGGAAUACCAAAAGCGAAGGCGAUCUUCUGGAACAAUACUGACGCUAAGGCGUGAAAGCGUGGGGAGCAAACAGGAUUAGAUACCCCCGUAGUC
RNAcentral lists this ribosomal RNA (439 nucleotides) under uncultured bacterium. Its description in RNAcentral is "partial 16S ribosomal RNA". It matches the Rfam family "Bacterial small subunit ribosomal RNA", at positions 339 to 795 of the family's 1533-position model. The record is from RNAcentral.